RNAcentral lists this ribosomal RNA (254 nucleotides) under uncultured bacterium. Its description in RNAcentral is "partial 16S ribosomal RNA". It matches the Rfam family "Bacterial small subunit ribosomal RNA", at positions 524 to 776 of the family's 1533-position model. The record is from RNAcentral.
GACGUAGGGCGCGAGCGUUGUCCGGAUUUAUUGGGCGUAAAGAGCUCGUAGGCGGCUUGUCGCGUCGACUGUGAAAACCCGCGGCUCAACCGUGUGGCUUGCAGUUGAUACGGGCAGGCUAGAGUUCGGUAGGGGAGACUGGAAUUCCUGGUGUAGCGGUGAAAUGCGCAGAUAUCAGGAGGAACACCGGUGGCGAAGGCGGGUCUCUGGGCCGAUACUGACGCUGAGGAGCGAAAGCGUGGGGAGCAAACAGG